UCUGCUGAAGUUGUAAUUGCUGGCUAUUUGGGGGUUAAUGCAGGGCACCCUCUCCCAGAAUCUCACUUGCAUUUCACAAGGCCUGUUUUUCCAGUCCUCUUUAGGCAGAGGAGAAACAGCUGUGCCCCCUUUGGAGCCCCAAUGAGUGUCCAGCAUUUGUCUGCAGCUUCCAGAAUGUCAGAAUGUUCCCUGAAUGGUACAUUUGUUCCACUUGAGAGUUCGAGGGAUGGGCAGGGGUGGGGCUGAGAACUGAGGAAGGGUGAAGGGAGGUGGACAUUGUUCAGAGUCCCACACUUGCUAUUCUUAAUUCCAGGAAGCAGGGCUGGCUGUUUCACCCUGACUGAGAUAAAUUAGAAACAUAAAGGAUGAGGGAGAGAGUUCUCAGCCAAAGGGGCCUCUAUAAGGCAUGACCAUCAACUUCAGCAACCUAGACCCUUGGCACUAGGGAACUCUUAUCUCACCCAUGGAGUCCUCUAUUUUUUUUUUUUUUUCUUCUUCUCCAAACCAGCAGCUGCUCUUUUUCUGGGCUGUGCAGGGAGUGUGGCAAGUGUGAAUUUGACCACAGGCAAAAUCUCCUGAGGAGAAGGCUCAGCACUAAUAGUUCAAGAGGGACAUUCUGGUUAAGGGAUGAAAAACAGCAACAUUCUACUGAACUCUAUCAAGUAUGAAGUACAAUGCCAUCCAUUAAGUGUAUGAACUCCCACUGUUGGCCAUUCAGUUGAUCCUAAAGGUAGUCAAGGAUCUUGGAGAGGGUUGACUUCCUCCAGCACCAUGGCAUCUGGCAAGUAACUGAAAAUAGAGGACUCCACCCCUCUUGUAGUUCUCCUGAUGCUCUUCACCACACAUUAGUGAUCAGAAAUGAAACGCAGUUUUCAUCCCCUGACCAUAAGAACUAGGCUACUUUCACUGGAACAAAAUCAGUUAAUUAUGAAGUACUCCUGAGAAUUCUGUGCUGAUUGUCAGAGUGUUUUUAGAGUGGAGGGAAGAAGAGGUAAGUAAACAGACCUGAAGACAAACAUGGCAAGAGUGUACAUAUGGGAUUUCUCUCUGCCUCUGUGGAGCUCAUGGAGACUGACACGUAAGCCACGCAUGCUUAAGACACACCCUUCUACAACACUGGGCAUCUUGUCUCUAUCUAGGACAUAUAUCACAGAUUUCUAAGACACAUCUAUAGUGUAGGGCUGCUAAUAAUACCUGACACGGCAUUCAGCCUGGCCCCUGGGGUGUGCCCAAGUUCUUACAAAGGGCUUCCUUUUUAACCUUCAGGAAGUAUCUUUUCUUCCUUUGGAAGAUGGGAAAGGGCAAGGGCCCUUGAUUCCAUUUCCUGCAAAAGGAAACAAAACCUCAGAGUAGAUUAGCAA
Miniopterus natalensis is the source of this 1361-nucleotide long non-coding RNA. RefSeq lists it as uncharacterized. NCBI's taxonomy places the organism in Eukaryota, Metazoa, Chordata, Mammalia, Chiroptera, Miniopteridae. The record is from RefSeq and is a predicted model, not a curated record.